AGAGUUUGAUCAUGGCUCAGAUUGAACGCUGGCGGCACGCUUAACACAUGCAAGUCGAACGGCAGCGGGAGAAAGCUUGCUUUCUCGCCGGCGAGUGGCGGACGGGUGCGUAAUGCGUAGGAACUUGCCCUGAAGAGGGGGACAACCCGGGGAAACUCGGGCUAAAACCGCAUAAUACUCUUUGGAGGAAAGCUGGCUACUUGUAGCUGGUGCUUUAGGAGGGGCCUACGUUGGAUUAGCUUGUUGGUGAGGUAAAGGCUCACCAAGGCAAUGAUCCAUAGCUGUUCUGAGAGGAAGAUCAGCCACACUGGGACUGAGACACGGCCCAGACUCCUACGGGAGGCAGCAGUGGGGAAUAUUGGACAAUGGGGGCAACCCUGAUCCAGCGAUGCCGCGUGUGUGAAGAAGGCCUGCGGGUUGUAAAGCACUUUUAAUGGGGAGGAAUAGUUCCAUGUUAAUAGCGUGGAGCAGUGACGUUACCCAUAGAAUAAGCACCGGCAAACUCUGUGCCAGCAGCCGCGGUAAUACAGAGGGUGCGAGCGUUAAUCGGAAUGACUGGGCGUAAAGGGCACGUAGGCGGUUGGACAAGUUAGAUGUGAAAUAUCAGGGCUUAACCUUGGUGCUGCAUCUAAAACUGUCUAACUAGAGUUCACUAGAGGGAAGCGGAAUUUCCGGUGUAGCGGUGAAAUGCGUAGAUAUCGGAAGGAACAUCAGUGGCGAAGGCGGCUUUCUGGAGUUGAACUGACGCUAAGGUGCGAAAGCGUGGGGAGCAAACGGGAUUAGAUACCCCGGUAGUCCACGCUGUAAACGAUGAGUACUAGCUCUUGGAAUGCGACGACAUUUUAGUAGCGUAGUUAACGCGAUAAGUACUCCGCCUGGGGAUUACGGCCGCAAGGCUAAAACUCAAAGGAAUUGACGGGGGCCCGCACAAGCGGUGGAACAUGUGGUUUAAUUCGAUGCAACGCGAAGAACCUUACCUACUCUUGACAUCUAUGGAACAUCUGAGAGAUCAGUUGGUGCUGGAAACAGAACCAUAAGACAGGUGCUGCAUGGCUGUCGUCAGCUCGUGUCGUGAGAUGUUGGGUUAAGUCCCGUAACGAGCGCAACCCUUGUCCUUAGUUGCCAGCACAUUAUGGUGGGGACUCUAAGGAGACUGCCGGUGAUAAGCCGGAGGAAGGUGGGGACGACGUCAAGUCAUCAUGGCCUUUAUGAGUAGGGCUACACACGUGUUACAAUGGGCAGUACAGAGGGAGGCAAAGCCGUGAGGUGGAGCGGAACUCAGAAAACUGUUCGUAGUCCGGAUUGAAGUCUGCAAUUCGACUUCAUGAAGUUGGAAUCGCUAGUAAUCGCGAAUCAGAAUGUCGCGGUGAAUACGUUCCCGGGCCUUGUACACACCGCCCGUCACACCAUGGGAGUGGGUUGCAAAAGAAGUGGGUAGCUUAACAUUGGGCGCUCACCACUUUGUGAUUCAUGACUGGGGUGAAGUCGUAACAAGGUA
RNAcentral lists this ribosomal RNA (1498 nucleotides) under metagenome. RNAcentral describes it as "bacterial SSU rRNA". It matches the Rfam family "Bacterial small subunit ribosomal RNA". The record is from RNAcentral.